UGGGGAAUUUUGGACAAUGGGCGAAAGCCUGAUCCAGCAAUGCCGCGUGUGUGAAGAAGGCCUUCGGGUUGUAAAGCACUUUUGUCCGGAAAGAAAUCCUUGGCUCUAAUACAGUCGGGGGAUGACGGUACCGGAAGAAUAAGCACCGGCUAACUACGUGCCAGCAGCCGCGGUAAUACGUAGGGUGCAAGCGUUAAUCGGAAUUACUGGGCGUAAAGCGUGCGCAGGCGGUUUGCUAAGACCGAUGUGAAAUCCCCGGGCUCAACCUGGGAACUGCAUUGGUGACUGGCAGGCUAGAGUAUGGCAGAAGGGGGGUAGAAUUCCACGUGUAGCAGUGAAAUGCGUAGAGAUGUGGAGGAAUACCGAUGGCGAAGGCAGCCCCCUGGGCCAAUACUGACGCUCAUGCACGAAAGCGUGGGGAGCAAACAGGAUUAGAUACCCUGGUAGUCCACGCCCUAAAACGAUGUCAACUAGUUGUUGGGGAUUCAUUUCCUUAGUAACGUAGCUAACGCGUGAAGUUGACCGCCUGGGGAGUACGGUCGCAAGAUUAAAACUCAAAUGAAUUGAC
Molecule: ribosomal RNA, 568 nt
Filed under: uncultured bacterium
Lineage: Bacteria
Description: partial 16S ribosomal RNA
Rfam family: Bacterial small subunit ribosomal RNA
Source: RNAcentral